Molecule: non-coding RNA, 45 nt
Filed under: Schistosoma curassoni
Lineage: Eukaryota; Metazoa; Platyhelminthes; Trematoda; Strigeidida; Schistosomatidae
Source: RNAcentral
AUCCAACUGACGAGUCCCAUAUAGGACGAAACACGCCUCCUGGAU